GCGGCGCACUACGCGAACCCGGCAAGGGCCCAUCGCCGAUGCAACCAGUGAUCGAACGCAUUCAGCGCCUGCUUGUCGCCUGGGGUGCGACCUCGCCAUCGUCGCGUACCAAGCUUGCAACUACCGCUGCACAGGCUUUGCAGGCCAAGGACAAGUUCGGCUCGGCGCUGUCGCUGGUUCGUUCAGCACAACGCACCGCGACGACAUUGCGCGAGCGCCUUUCGCCGGAUGCGUGGCAUGUCAUCACCGGCAUGGUCGAACGCCUUUCGGAGAAAG
RNAcentral lists this unclassified non-coding RNA (276 nucleotides) under Hevea brasiliensis (rubber tree). Lineage: Eukaryota; Viridiplantae; Streptophyta; Magnoliopsida; Malpighiales; Euphorbiaceae. The record is from RNAcentral.